GGGGCAGAGCUGCCGUGUGCCUCGUCACUGCCCCUGUCACCACCGUGCCCCCUGAGGGCUGCAGAGCCAGCAGCUUCACGGAGAGAAUCCGGCUGUUCGAGUUCUCGGAGAAAGCUGCAGCUCAGGGCUUCAUCUCUGAUCACAUAAACUCUUUCGAAGGCGAAGGAAGCCAUGGAGUGAUCCUAUUUUUAUACAGUUUACUUUUCUCUAGGACGUUUGAAAGGGUCCACGAGGAUUUGGGUGACACAGCUCCCCUGUUGAACGUCAGUUCUGGAAAUGUCACCUGCACAGAGGUAGGAUCGGCCACAUGUCUCAAGCGUUCUGGUUUUAUUAUUCCCACAUCUGAAAAAAUUAUCACGUGUUAAUUAAUCCAAAGAAAAAAAUAAGCGUGAGCUCAUUUUAAAAAAAUAUUUUGCUAUUUUAAUCAUGACUGUGCACUUAAAAAACAGAUGA
Sturnus vulgaris (Common starling) is the source of this 453-nucleotide non-coding RNA. The record is from RefSeq and is a predicted model, not a curated record. Lineage: Eukaryota; Metazoa; Chordata; Aves; Passeriformes; Sturnidae.